Molecule: transfer RNA, 82 nt
Filed under: Spironucleus salmonicida
Lineage: Eukaryota; Fornicata; Diplomonadida; Hexamitidae
Description: tRNA-Ser
Rfam family: tRNA
About the family: Transfer RNA (tRNA) molecules are approximately 80 nucleotides in length. Their secondary structure includes four short double-helical elements and three loops (D, anti-codon, and T loops).
Source: Rfam by way of RNAcentral
GUCACUUUGGCCGAGUGGUUAAGGCGUUGGACUUGAAAUCCAAUGUACGUUGUACGCAUGGGUUCAAACCCCAUAGGUGACG